This 1292-nucleotide long non-coding RNA is filed under the name Mus musculus (house mouse). RNAcentral's name for it is "predicted gene 10817". The record is from RNAcentral. Lineage: Eukaryota; Metazoa; Chordata; Mammalia; Rodentia; Muridae.
GGGACCGCGCCCCCUCCCCGCGGGCCGGUCGGGUCCUCCCACAGGCCGCGCCCACGACCACGACGACUCCUCCUCUAGGCCGACCUGCAACCGCUCCUCACUGUCCGGCUUGACUGGGUCUCCCGGCCCAACCGGCCGGCGCCGACCUGCACCUUCUGCUUUGGCCCGGCUCCGGCUCCUGCUCCUGUCCCGCUUCACCCGGAUCCUCGACCGUGAGCUCGUCUCGCUGCCUCCAUCCCGCCGGCCUUCCCAGCAGUCCCCGCGCCGCCUUAAAGGUGAAGCCGCUACCUCGGCGGCGUCGGAGGGGGCGAAACACGCUCCAGCCGGCCAGCUCGCUGCCUUAAAGGGGCCCCGCAGGCCUGGCCGGCUUCGGGGUGGGGCCAGCCCAGACGGGACGCAGAGGGGCGUGGCUGGACUCGCCCCCUCGGACCAGAGCUUCCAGGUCUGUGCGCUCUGCGGAGCUCCGACCCCGGACCAGAGUGACUGAGGAGCAAGAAGGCCGACCUCCUCAGAUUCCAGAGCGAGUCGGUCCACAUUGAUUGACUGUCAAGUGUUUUUGUCGAUGUCUUAGUGCAUUGACUUAAUGCUCACAAAGGGCUGGUGAGGUGGGUGUUGCCAUUACCCACCUCUCACACAUCUGACCCCCCAGCCCCCUCCGCGCUCUAGAGACGCACCUCUUACCGGCUUCGGAGGUGACUGUGCCUGUAGGGAAUUCUCAGCAUCUAGGUUUGCUUUGUGAGGGAACAGAAGGAGGCUUCUGGUUAAAAAGGAGAAUUGGGUGGGAAGGAGCGUGUGGAGGUCGGUGGAGAAGGGAGAAGAUCCACGCCCCUGAGGGGAAUAUCUGGGUGGAUACUGCUGACCAGAUAAGGAGGUCAGACGAGUGCCUUUGGAUUGUGGUGGUGUCAUUGGGGGGCCUCAGAUUGGGUGUCACCAACUCGGAAGGAAAGACCUCUGUGCUAGAUAGUUUUAUGUCAACUUGACACAAACUAGGGUCAUUGAACAGAUGGGAAUCUCGGCUGAGAAGAUGCUGCCAUAGGAUCGGGCUGCAGGAAAACCUGUUUUCUUACUGAUUGUUGUGGGAGGGCCCAGGCCAGGGUAGGUGAGGCCAGAAGGCAGUUCUGAGCAAGUUCAGAGGGCAAGCCCAGAAGCAGCACUCCUUCAUGGGCUCUGCAUCAGCUCCUUUCUCUGGGUUCUGUUCUCUCUGGGUGCCUGUCCUGACUUCCUUCACUGGAUGAAGAGUGCACCAAAUAAACCCUUUUGGUCACUGUGUUUCCACACAGCAAUAUUAACUC